ACAUCACGAAACAAACGAGUUUAGGUCCUUUGGCAGGCGCGGUCAGCAUGAGCCGACGCCCGAAGGCGGCCUGCCAAAGCAACAAAGGUAUGUAUACACGGUUUGGGAAUAGAACCCAUUUCAAAAAACGGGGCAUUCUUUAAUGAUCCUUCCGCAGGUUCACCUACGGAAACCUUGUUACGACUUUUACUUCCUCUAAAUGACCAAGA
This 209-nucleotide unclassified non-coding RNA is filed under the name uncultured fungus. RNAcentral's name for it is "sequence contains 18S rRNA gene, ITS1, 5.8S rRNA gene, ITS2". Lineage: Eukaryota; Fungi. The record is from RNAcentral.